ACCGAUCACCGCGUACGACGUCGUUUUGCACAAGGUACUCCUCCUUGACCAAUUCUUCCCCGAUCGGUCUUGACUGUUUGGUGUGUUAAUUCAAAAGGAUGCCACGUUCCUAGCAUUUGUUUUGGUUUGUUUCUCUUCUUUUGUUCUCAUGGCCUCUGUUUGGAUUCUCAGAAAAUACUCCCUAGAAAGAAAAUAACAAUUCGGAAUAUUAGUCACUGGUUUUUGCAAUCCUACGUUUUCUCAGCAACCGAACGGAACAAAGAGGGUUGGUGUGGACCCUCAAAUAGUAAAUGAUGAUCGAAUACGUACCGUGAUUCAAAUAUUUUCUCUAAUUCAACUCAAUGUUUCAUGCAUAUAUUCCUUUCCCUUCUGCUUCGUUGCUAAGAAAAGGAAGGAAAAAGGAAGGCAAACACAUUCCUUGAUGAUAUAUGCUCUGUUGAUUUUUCGUUCCUAAAGUUGAAAUUAGAGUUGUGUGAUGGCCUUUAAUUUUUUUAUUUUUUAUUUUUAUUUUUUUUCUUAUUUCUUCCUUUUGUAUGAUUGUGUGCUAAAUGAUGAAUAAUUAAAAUUUUAAAGGUUUUUAUUUUAUUUUAUUUUAUUAUUUUUUAUUUUAAAAUUUCUCUCAUUUUCGCCGGGAGCAAACGGGUGAUUUGGUUUGUAAAUGGUUGGGAUCAUGAGUGAAAUUAUUUGUCCUUAAUGUUGAAAGCAAAAAUGUGUUUCAUUUUGUAAUUAAUCAAGCAUACUGCAAAUGUGUUUGCAACUUGUAUUCAAACUGCAAAAUUUCUUGGUGAUCAGUAAUCAAGGUCAAUAAAGUCAAGAAUCGAAAACAAUACAACAUCACAAAUCACUCUAAUGGUUUUGCUGUGAAAAGCUAUCAAUCUGGAGGUAGAUGUUUGAAUUGUGCUUUAAUAUCUGGUAAUGUGUUAACUCCCCAGAACACACUCGUAUAAGUGAUUAUGGUGUGCUAUCUCGCCAAUGAGCAAUUGGCACAUAGAUUAUCAUGUAUGUUUGCAUCAUAUGGCUUGUGGACUUUAUCAAGUGUCAUGUGUCAUAAAGCACCAUGGUUUGGGGCCAAUAGGAUGAAUAUGUGCAUAGUCUUCAUGGUUUUGUCUCCUUCCUGUGCUAUGGGACGGUGGUGAACUAGCUUUGAUGCCCAUCUUUUAAGUGGAAACUUGAGUUCUUGGCUGUCCACAAGACAUGAGUUCCAGGGAAAGGAUCCAAUCACUUCACUCCUUUGGGAUGUAGAAGCUGAUAUUGCAGCAUAACUCUUAUGCAGUGGUAGAUGGGAUCCUUAGUCUUAGUCACUUCCAUUGGUGCAGUAAAAUUAUACAGAAUUGUUUGCUUUAGCCUCAUUGGUGAAGACUGUCACACUUUCAGUCUACACAAGAGACUCCGUUCUUGAUUUGCAGGAGUAUAUGUUUCAUUAUGUAUAACUGAGUGAAUUUUGACCUCCUUACUAUCAAGAUUUUCCAUGGGAUAAUUACCUGAUUCUUCCAAGGCAGUCUAUCAAGAUGUUUGACCUCCUUGCUCUCAAGGCAGUCUACUGUCCUCUUAUACUCUUAAUAACUGACUGGUCAGUGGUUGAAGUCUUUCCCAACAAUGAGCUCUUGUCAACAGAUGCUAAUUGAAUAUUAGCUGAACAGUUGAGAGGGUCAAUCUUGUUCUCACUUCUAAUCUUCUAAUCAUCAUGGAAUGGUUGCAUGAAAAUGAACAUUCUCCCAUACCGCAGGAAAAACAAAACCACGUCUGAAUCAACAAGAAAGAAAAAUAUGAUAAAGUUAGCAAAGUUGCUAUUUGGACUAUCCUACUGAGAUAGUCCUCUCAUUAUCUUCAAAAACUGAAAAUAUCUCCAUUAGAUCCUUGUGAGAAUUCUCUCAUUGGGACCUUCACCACUGCAUUUGGAUAAAGUGAUUUAGAAAAAAAAAGAAAGAAAUUGAUUUGAAAUCCUUAAGUUUGGUGUUUGGAAUUGAGGGAAUUCAUAAAGCAAUGAUUUCAAAGGAUUUGGUAGAGGAAUAAUUAAGUUUUCAAUUCUUUAAAAAAUGGUGGAAUUUCACAAGAUUCGGAUUUCAUUGAAGUAGAUGCCAAGUCACAACUUCUUUUCCAAUAUUGCACUUAUUUCUCUAUCUUCUUACAAAUUAUUAUGUAUAUUCUUAUCUCUAAUGCUAAGUCACAACUUCCUUUUUUUCAAUAUUGCACUUAUUUCUCUAUCUUCUUCUUUACAAAUUAGUAUGUAUAUUCUUAUCUCUUUCACUUGGAUUCUUCUGUCUUUCACUCACUUCCUUUUGAGUCCCUUAAACUCCGAGCUAUUUGAAUUCUCAUGAUUGGGUUUCUCCUCUAAAAGUAUUAUAUUUGCUUGGCCUUCUCAUUGUUCGGAUCGCUGUUGGUUUUGUUUCCAUCAUUCAUGCUGAAGGACUAUGGUUUUCCAUAUAAUAUCCAGCAUCUCUUUUGUAUGCGUUGGUUUCAUGCAAUGAGUACACCAGAGGUUGUCCUUGUUAUUUAGCUGCGUGGAUACCUUUCCUCUACAAGAAUCUAUGCUAUGGAUUGGAUUGCUUUGUGAGCUUGAAACAAUAAGGACAGACCCUUCAUUUACUAGAGUGUCUAGCGUUACACUCUUUCUCCCUUCGUUAGUCCUUAUGAUUGAAAAUACUUAAGGAUGUUAGUGAUUCAUUCCCAAGUACUUGAACACGUACUCAAUCAUAUUCCAUGUUAAGUCCAACCAAGAAUUCUAAUACUCACUUUCUUUUAAUAAACUUAAGAUAUGUAAUAGCAUCCUCACUAUUCUUCAUUUUAAGAUUUUGAUAAUAGUCCAACUCAAACCAUAAUCCUCUUUUGAAAAUUGAGAAUGAUUUCUGAAUAAUGCUUGUGUAUUCAUUGAAUGUGUUUGUAACCUAUUUACAGUGUUUACAAUGGGAAAAAGAAAAGGAAAUUACUCCAGUCUAGGCCUAGAAUUACUCCCGUAAAUCAACUACUAAUUGUAAGGAAACCUUGAUUAUUUUGUUCCUUGGUCUUGGAGCUUAUAACGAAUGUGCAAUCUAUCCUAAGCUUCUUUAGAUCUACGCACAACAGAAAAUAUAACAUUUAAAACUGACUUAGAGGUUUAGAUUAUCAUACCUUUUUUUUUUUUUGAUAGGUAUUUGAAGAUUGUAUUAAUUUUUUAAAAAAAGUACCCACGAUGUAACAACACAACCAAAGAACAAGAAGGCGCGAGUGCACAAAAACUAGCAACUGCACUCAAAGAGUCUAACUAAUCCAAAAAAUCUAAUAACGACAUAGAAUCAUCCCUAAUGUAUAGUCUAACCCAAUCCCAAAAAAGAUACAAAAAAGAACUUUUAAUUGUUUGGUCCAAGCUUUCACAAUUCUCAAAGACUCUCCCAUUUCUCUCCCUCUAAAUGGACCAAAAAAGGCAAAGAGGAACAACUUUCCAAGCCUUUUUCCUUUUUUUGCCAACAAAGGAGUCGCCCCAACUGAAGAGUAUCCCUCUCAUCGAAGAGUGCAUAACCCACUGUAUAUCAAAAAGAGCAAAAAUCAAUUGCCACAAAAUGUGAGCUUUCAGACAAUGUAGGAGAAUAUGAUCACUUGUCUUUUCUUCUGCUUUGCACAUAUGGUAUUUGUUAGGCAUCCUCCAACCCCUCUUUUUGAACUGAUCUUGUGUCAAAAUCUUGGCUCAAGUUGCUUCUUAAGCAAAAAAACUAACUCUUAUAGGAGCCUAAAAGUUCCAAACUACACCAACCACUCUCCUACUUGCCAAGGAGGAGUAGAAAGACUUGUUGAAAAGUCACAAUUCUUUGUCUCCAACCACAACAUAAUAUAUCAUCAAUACCCAAACAGAUGGAACAAUCAUGUAGCCUCUUGAAAAUGACAUUUGCUUUCUCCAACUCUCAAUCAUUUAAUUGUCUAAUAAACUUGGGGCCCCAACUACCACCAUCUUAGAUAUCAACCACCCAAGCAUCUUUUGAAGAGGCUAUAGAAAAAAGAUUUGGAAAAGAAUCCCUCAAAGGCAUAUCCCUGUACCACUUAGCCUUCCAGAAUUUCAUCUUAUUCUCAGAACUGACCUUAAAACUAGUUUUAUCUUUGAAAGCAUCCUAACCAUUUCUGAUUGCCUUCCAUGCCCCCAUUUCAUAUCUCUCUUUUACCUCUUUCGUGUACCAACCCCCAUUAUUUAGCUUGUACUUACCAACAAUUACUUGCUUCUAAAGAGGAUCCCUUUCACUUAUAAAUCUCUAAGACCAUCUUCUUAGAAGAGCCUUGUUAAAGAUCAAAAGAUUUUUGAAUCCCAAGCUCCAUUUUUGUUUUUCCAAGCAAACAACAAACCAAUUCACUAGAUGGGCUUGCUAACUAAAGCGCCCCCCCUCCAAAGGAAGUCCCUUGAAUCUUUUUCAGUAUUGCCCCUACCAUCUUUGGGAUGACAAAAAGGGAUAUGGUGUAAAUUGGUAAGUUGGAUAAGGUGCACUUAAUCAGAAUCUGUCUUUCACCUUUUGAGAGAUAUUGUCUUUUCCACAAAGCAAGCCUUUUCUAUAAACGUUCUUCCACCCCUUCCCAAACCCUAGAGGACUUGUAAGGAGCUCCCAAAGAGAGCCUUAAAUAUGUGGUUCAGAGAGAACCCACCUUACAACCUAAAACCUCAACAAGAUCCUCCAUAUUUGGGACAUCCCCUACUGGAAUCAACUCAAUUUUCUCCAAAUUAAUUUUCAACCUUGAACAUGAGUUUGGGCAUUAGAAACCUCUCAAUUCUUAAUAAAGCUCUUUUGGAAAAAUGGUUUUAGAAGUUUGUGUGCAAAAGGAACCUCCUUUGGAAACGUGUUAUUGUAAGGAGUAAUGGGCAGAAAAAAAUAGGGGAUGGUCCUCUAAAAAAGUAAGAUAGGGGUAUGAAGUGGGGGUGUGGAAGGCGAUCGGAAAUGGUUGGGAGAUGCUCAAAGAAAAAACAAGUUUCAAGGUUAGGCCUGACAAUAGGAUGAAGUUCUGGACAAAUAAGUGGUGUAGAGACAGAGCCUUGAGGGACUUAUUUCCAACCCUUUAUUCUAUAACCUCCUCAAAAGAUGCUUGGAUGGAGGAUGUUUGGGAUAGUGGGAGUUGGACCCAAGGUUUGUUAGAUAGUUGCAUGAUUGGGAGCUGGAGGUGGUGGAUUAUUUUUUUGGGAGCUUGUAUGAACACUCCAUUAGCUUGGAUUCUAAGGAUACUAUAGUGUGGUUGGGAUCAAAGAAUGGUAACUUCUCUGUGAAAUCUUAUUACUCCUUCUUGGUGAAUGGGGGAACGACACCUUUCCCUCAUGGCAUUGUUUGGAAUUCUUGGGCUUCGGUGAGAGUUAGCUUCUUUGCUUGGGAGGCAACUUGGGCCAGGAUUUUGAUCUUGGAUCAACUCAGAAGGAGGUAGUGGAGGCUUCCCAACAGAUGCUACAUGUGUAACGAAAAAGAAGAAAAGUGUGAUCACAUCCUCCUUCAUUGCAUUAAAGCAUGCAUUUUGUGGGAGUUGAUUUUUUCCUUGUUUGGAGUAUAAUGGGUGAUGCACUCUUCAGUUAGAGGGUUUCUUCUAAGUUGGCGCGGUUCUCCUGUUGGUAGAAAAAAGGAAAAAAGUCUUGAAAGGUUGCUCUAUCAUGCGUGUUUUGGACCUUAUGGAGGGAAAGAAAUAGGAAAUCUUUCAAUAACUAUGAAUGUUUGGAUCAAACAAUUAAGAGUUCUUUCUCGAAUCUUUAUUGGGAGUGGGUAAGAAUGUAUAUUGGGGACGGAUCAUUAUCAUUAUUAGAAUUUGUGGAUUGGAUAGGCUCUUUGUAGGGUGUGGUUGAUGGUUUUUGUAUUCUUGCGCCCAUUUUGGGUUUUUUGGUUCCUUUGUAUACAUCGUGUAUACUUCUUCUUAUUCUAAUACACUUACACUUAUAAAAAAACCCUUGGACAUGCCUCAAACCACAUGAAGAGCAUCAUUUGCAAAUAACAAAUGGGAAAUCUCCAUUUCCACAUCAUAUCUUCCUUUGACUAGGAACCCAUAAAUAAUAUCACCUUCCUUUUCCCUGGAGAGCAAGCAGAAGAGAGUCUCCAUCGCUAAGAUGAACAAAUAAGGAGAUAAAGGUCUCCUUGGCUCAAGCCCCUAGAACUUUGGAAAAAGCUGGAAAGGGAACCAUUAACCAAGACAAAAAAACGUGCUGUAGAGAUACAUCGUUUGAUCCUUCCUAACCACUUGGUACCAAACCCCAUUUUAUCCAAAAUGGCAAGGAUAAAACUCCAAUUGACAUGUUUAUGAGCCUUUUCAAUGUCAAGCUUGCAAAUGAUGCUUGCCAAAUUGUCUUUAAUUCUGGAAUCAAUGACCUCAUUUGUUAUCAAGACAACAUCCAAAAUUUGUCUUCUCUCCACAAAGGCAUGUUGAAAAAUCUAAGACUAAGGUACCCACCACCUUUUUAAGUUUGUUUUUCUAGAACCUUAGCCAAGAGCUUGUAUAAACCUCCCACCAAGCUAAUAUGUCUAAAGUAUAGUAACUUGGUGAAUCAUUACUAUUUGAUAGCUAAUGUCACGAUUCACCAUAAGUCUUAUCUAAUGUAUAACCAACCAUACACACUAAUGCACUCACUAUGGGAAAACCAUCCCGAUGACCAGGACAAGUUGUCCCUUCAAUUACAAGGUAGUGUAUUAUAGUUUCUGAUGGAUUACCCAAAUCUAUGAACUGACUGUGAACUAUUUAUCAUCUUGCAAGGAACUCAUGACUUGGAUUUUCUAUACAACUCUUAAUACACUCGAAUCAUGUAUGAUACAAUUAAUAAGGAUGUGAAUGCUCAAAAUAUAAUUAAUGUAGAUAAGGAUAAUAAAGGGAACUAAAAUCAUAAUAAAUAAAUUUAUUAAUGAAGCUCAAAUCUGUUACAUCAUGUCAUGCUUUUUAAAGCUCUAUCCUAAUUACAAGAAAUAAAUAAGCUAUUAAGGCAAUCAUUAACUACAAGAAAUAAAUCAAGUUAACUGUACCAAAAAUAAAUAAAUUAUUGCAUUGAUUCUCCAACACUUCCCCUCAAGUUGGUAAGUAAAUGUUUUUUAUUCUCAACUUGUUUGUAAUAGAUUGAAAUGGUUUAGCUGCAAGUCCCUUGGUUAGUAUGUCAAGUGUUCCCAUUUAUUUUAUAUCAUUCUUUUAGAGUGAAUCUUGGUCUUUAUCUCAUAAAUUUGAUCAACAUCUUAGACUUUGCAAUAUAUUUGCUUCACUGCUUCCCAAAUUUUAUUGUGGUGGGCAGGACACACAAAUUCCGUUGAUUUCGGGUUACAUUUCAUUCUACAGUCUGGACAUGAUCAUUGAGUCUUCCUCAUCCUUGGCAGCAAAAUUGAGAUCAUUCUCACUUGGUGCGAACAAUCAAGUAGUUGAGCUUGCUUUUUUCCUUUAAAAACAUAUGCACAUACUGGGACCAUACUAGAUGGUUUUGGCCAUUAAAUCUAAAUGAGGGCUAAAGGUUUUAAUAUUCACUGGUAGGUGUUUGUUUUGGAAUGUAGUGUUUGAGGUUAAGAUUUUCUGAGGUUUUGUUUUCUAAGCUUUUUGACUUAGUGAGCAGCUAAAUAAAGCCAAAACUUGAGAGAGUAGUGAUGCAAUAGCUGAUGUGAAAAACUGUUGAAUUACAACAACUGAUCAAUGAGGAGAGAAAAAAAUGGUGACAACAAUGAAGACCACAUGAGAUAGAGAAUAGCGACAAUAAAGGCCAUUGGAAAUCGAUAAGAAUGAAGACCAUUAGGAAAAAAAAAUUGGAAUUGAACUUAGAGACCUGGAACAUACGCUGAUGCCAUGUAGAAAAGAAUGAUUUUAUUUAUGUAUUUCUGACAAAAUGAUACAGUAUUUAGAGUGUACAGUUGUAUAAAAGUUGAAAACUAAAUUACACAAAAUCAGGAAGUUGACUAAUUCCUAAAUAUUCUUUACCCUACAAAUUGGAAAAAUAAAAUAGGAAAGUAUACAACUAUACAAUCUUGAAAAUCAGAGAAUUAAUUUCAUACAACUGUACAAUCUUGGAAAUCAGGGAAUUAAUUCCUGGUAUUUGCAAUAUGAUGAACAUCUCUCAUUUCAAAAUGGUGAAUUGGUAGGAGAGAUUUUUAAUGUUUAGAGAAUGAGAUAUGGAUAGGUAGAGCCCAUGUGGAGUCCACUGACGGAUGGUACAACCCAAUUGAAAAGAACAUUUUGAGAAACAUUUUGGGAAUUAGUAUUAGAGUGCAUAAAUUUCUAAAUAUUUUUAAAUUUAAAAAGAUAUUUAUUUGUUUAUAAAUCAUGGUACUGAAACAAACUUUUCCCUGUUAUUUAUGUUGAAACUAUAGUAAGAAAAGUGUCUCUACUGCCUCUUUUAUUUGAUUUUGAUGAAUUUAUGCAUGUCUGUUGGUUAGACUGGUUUUUUCCUCAUGGAGUAUCUAGCUCUCCAAAUUAAAGAAUGUGUGAUUGAUGUUAUCAUUUACUCUAAUCUUUGAAGCAUCUUCGCCACUAGUCUAGUUUUCUCUUUUCCAUUGUUGUUACUCACAUUUCCAAUUUGGUUUGGUGCUUUCUGUAGGUUUGUAUGCUUUUACUUUGAAGUGUCUGUCUUAAUGUAUUGAGGAACACCUGUUUUAAUGUAUUGAGGAACACCUGACUGUUGUUUGCCUGAAAGAACCAGUAAGCAAAUAUGAGAACUGGAUCAAUCUGAUAUGGUUAUGAUGGAAAAGCAAACUAGGACGGAUAGGAUUAGCAAUCUGCCAUGGGAUGUGUUGGACGCUAUCCUUGUGCACUUGCCACUA
RNAcentral lists this long non-coding RNA (8708 nucleotides) under Vitis vinifera (wine grape). RNAcentral describes it as "long non-coding RNA (VVIN_LNC004776)". Lineage: Eukaryota; Viridiplantae; Streptophyta; Magnoliopsida; Vitales; Vitaceae. The record is from RNAcentral.